UUGGCGGCGGGUGCCAUGCGUCUGGAGCUUCACAUUCUCUGCCCCCCACCCACCGCGCCGGCGCUCCCUUGUCACGCCUCGGGAAGCGCGCACCUGCCAAGCAGGAUGAAUAAUCUGAUAUCAUGUGAAAUGAGGAAAUAAGAAGCUUUCUGCUGACUUCAUUUUGACCCAGGGUCCAAAAGGUGAUGUAAUCCUGUGGCAAGAAGAUUCAAAACUGUGGACUAUCUUGCAAAAAAUACAAGAAGAUAUUGAAAGUUUUCAUGAGUGCCUACCACCUAAUCUCAAACACUAUCAUUCAUAUGUGCCUCAUUGAGCAAAUCUUUAAUGAGGAUCUAUAUGCCAGCAAUAUCUUUUGCUUGGGAGCAGAAACAGAAAGUACAUGAUGGACUUCAUUGAAGGAUGGAGAUUUGGAAGACAUGAAUGGAUGAAGAACCAAUAGAGAUGGGGUUUCACCAUGUUGCCCAGGCUGGUCUCAAACUCCUGAGCUCAGGCCAUCUGCCCGCCUCGGCCUCCCAAAGUGCUAGGAUUACAGGUGCCUGCUUCCCCUUCACCUUCCACCAUGAUUGUAAGUUUCCUGAGGCCUCCCCAGACAUGUGGAACUGUGAGUCAAUUAAAUCUCUUUUCUUUAUAAAUUA
RNAcentral lists this long non-coding RNA (635 nucleotides) under Homo sapiens (human). RNAcentral describes it as "novel transcript". The record is from RNAcentral. Lineage: Eukaryota; Metazoa; Chordata; Mammalia; Primates; Hominidae.